Molecule: ribosomal RNA, 495 nt
Filed under: uncultured bacterium
Lineage: Bacteria
Description: partial 16S ribosomal RNA
Rfam family: Bacterial small subunit ribosomal RNA
Source: RNAcentral
GACGAACGCUGGCGGCGUGCCUAAUACAUGCAAGUAGAACGCUGAAGGAGGAGCUUGCUUCUCUGGAUGAGUUGCGAACGGGUGAGUAACGCGUAGGUAACCUGCCUGGUAGCGGGGGAUAACUAUUGGAAACGAUAGCUAAUACCGCAUAAUAGUAGAUGUUGCAUGACAUUUGCUUAAAAGGUGCAAUUGCAUCACUACCAGAUGGACCUGCGUUGUAUUAGCUAGUUGGUGGGGUAACGGCUCACCAAGGCGACGAUACAUAGCCGACCUGAGAGGGUGAUCGGCCACACUGGGACUGAGACACGGCCCAGACUCCUACGGGAGGCAGCAGUAGGGAAUCUUCGGCAAUGGACGGAAGUCUGACCGAGCAACGCCGCGUGAGUGAAGAAGGUUUUCGGAUCGUAAAGCUCUGUUGUAAGAGAAGAACGAGUGUGAGAGUGGAAAGUUCACACUGCGACGGUAUCUUACCAGAAAGGGACGGCUAACUACGUG